CCCGAUUAAAGCGGUACGCGAGCUGGGGUUCAGAACGUCGUGAGACAGUUCGGUCCCUAUCCGUCGUGGGCGUAGGAAAUUUGAGAGGAGCUGUCCUUAGUACGAGAGGACCGGGAUGGACAUACCUCUGGUGUACCAGUUGUCGUGCCAACGGCAUAGCUGGGUAGCUAUGUAUGGACGGGAUAAGUGCUGAAAGCAUCUAAGCAUGAAGCCCCCCUCAAGAUGAGAUUUCCCAACUUCGGUUAUAAGAUCCCUCGAAGAUGACGAGGUUAAUAGGUUCGAGGUGGAAGCGUGGUGACACGUGGAGCUGACGAAUACUAAUCGAUCGAAGACUUAAUCAA
This 341-nucleotide ribosomal RNA is filed under the name Staphylococcus epidermidis NIHLM008. RNAcentral's name for it is "bacterial LSU rRNA". It matches the Rfam family "Bacterial large subunit ribosomal RNA", at positions 2583 to 2925 of the family's 2925-position model. The record is from RNAcentral. Lineage: Bacteria; Bacillati; Bacillota; Bacilli; Caryophanales; Staphylococcaceae.